Xiphophorus couchianus (Monterrey platyfish) is the source of this 1511-nucleotide long non-coding RNA. RefSeq lists it as uncharacterized. Lineage: Eukaryota; Metazoa; Chordata; Actinopteri; Cyprinodontiformes; Poeciliidae. The record is from RefSeq and is a predicted model, not a curated record. The transcript has 2 exons.
AUCACUACUUUUGGUGGCCCACACUCAAUAAAGAUGUCAUUGAAUAUGUCUCUGCCUGUUCCACUUGAGCUAGGAACAAGACCUUACAUUGCCCACCUUCUGGUCUGUUACAACCACUGUCCAUUCCUAGUCGUCCCUGGUCCCACGUCUCCCUAAAUUUUGUUACUGGUCUCCCCACAUCCAAACAGAAGAGUGUCAUCCUCACCAUUAUGGACCGUUUUUCCAAGGCGUGUAAUUUGGUCACCCUCACUAAACUCCCCUCAGCCGCAGAGACAGAAAAACUUCUUUCGCCACGUUUUUUGCCUUCAUGGUAUCCCCACAGAGAUCGUCUCUGACAGGGGGCCUCAGUUCAGUUCCCAGCUCUGGCUGAACUUCUGUUCUGUGCUCGGGGCCUGGCCGUGUUUGUCUUUGGGGUUCCAUCCUCAAACCAAUGGACAAUGUGAACGACUUAACCAGGAACUGGAGAACACCCUGUGCUGCCUCUGCACCUCCAACCCGACCUCUUGGAGUGUGCACUUACUGUGGGUGGAGUACGCCCAUAACACACACAUAUCAUCUGCGACAGGGUUAUCUCAGUUUGAUGCGUCUCAAGGGUUCCAACCUUCCCUACUGCCGACAUCCUUCCCAGAUGUGGUCAUUCCAUCUGUCAGACGUCACAUGCAAAACUGUCAACGUAUUUGGAACCAGACUAAGGCCGCCCUUCAACGAACGUCUGCUCAGAAUAAGCUUCUGGCAGAUAGAAAGAGAAUUCCAGCCCCCAUCUUCUCGCCCGGCCAUCGUGUUUGGUUAUCGUCAAAGAAUUUUACUCUAAAGUCCUGUUCCCGCAAGUUGUCCUCCAGGCUUCAGGGUCCGUUCGUUGUUGACUCCGUCCUUAGCCCUUCUGCUUUCCGCCUUAGGUUCCCCUCUCAUUUCCGUGUCCACCGUGUUUCACGUUUCCCAGAUCAAACCCUACGUCUCCAGUCCUUUGUGGGUUAGAGUUGGGUUCUGCAGGGGAGGGUCCACCUUCUCCUUCACAAGGUGGCAGGCUGAUGGGAUCCAGCUGUUACUCAUCACCACCAAUCUGCAAGGUUCUUUAAGAGGAGCAGCUUCCCGGAAGAAGAUGCCAGAUGGUUCCGCUUCUACAGUGUGAACCCGCGCUGAACACUCUCUGAACCAGGACUCACCUGAAGUAUCUGAUUCUAGCUGCUCCGUUGGGCCUUGCACCGGGGUGCGUCACGCCCGCCACUCAGCUGCUGCCUGUCUGCCCUCAAUCACCUGCUGGAACUUCCCCAUCUGGAAAACCACCACAUCACACUAACUGUUGGUUCCCCAUGUACUCUCCUCUGCUUGCCUCUACCCACAGACCUUAAGUCGCCAUCAGGUAACUCCGUCAUUCCCUUCAUUACUUCCCUCUUUAACCUCUCGCCCUUUGCAGUUCCUCCGCUGGUCCGGUUCCUCCCUGCUGUCGCAGAUCGACGCCCCUCCACACGCUCUCCAGCACAUUCUAUUGCUAAAUAAAUCUGUUAAAACUG